GACGAACGCUGGCGGCGUGCUUAACACAUGCAAGUCGAACGGAAAGGCCCUGCUUUUGUGGGGUGCUCGAGUGGCGAACGGGUGAGUAACACGUGAGUAACCUGCCCUUGACUUUGGGAUAACUUCAGGAAACUGGGGCUAAUACCGGAUAGGAGCUCCUGCUGCAUGGUGGGGGUUGGAAAGUUUCGGCGGUUGGGGAUGGACUCGCGCCUUAUCAGCUUGUUGGUUGGGUAGUGGCUUACCAAGGCUUUGACGGGUAGCCGGCCUGAGAGGGUGACCGGACACAUUGGGACUGAGAUACGGCCCAGACUCCUACGGGAGGGAGCAGUGUGGAAGAUUGCACAAUGGGCGGAAGCCUGGUGCAGCAACGCCGCGUGCGGGAUGACGGCAUUCGGGUUGUAAACCACUUUCGCCUGUGACGAAGCGUGAGUGACGGUAAUGGGUAAAGAAGCACCGGCUAACUACGUG
Molecule: ribosomal RNA, 468 nt
Filed under: uncultured bacterium
Lineage: Bacteria
Description: partial 16S ribosomal RNA
Rfam family: Bacterial small subunit ribosomal RNA
Source: RNAcentral